GAGGAAAGCUGGCGGCGUGCCUAAUACAUGCAAGUCGAGCGAACAGACGAGGAGCUUGCUCCUCUGACGUUAGCGGCGGACGGGUGAGUAACACGUGGAUAACCUACCUAUAAGACUGGGAUAACUUCGGGAAACCGGAGCUAAUACCGGAUAAUAUAUUGAACCGCAUGGUUCAAUAGUGAAAGACGGUUUUGCUGUCACUUAUAGAUGGAUCCGCGCCGCAUUAGCUAGUUGGUAAGGUAACGGCUUACCAAGGCAACGAUGCGUAGCCGACCUGAGAGGGUGAUCGGCCACACUGGAACUGAGACACGGUCCAGACUCCUACGGGAGGCAGCAGUAGGGAAUCUUCCGCAAUGGGCGAAAGCCUGACGGAGCAACGCCGCGUGAGUGAUGAAGGUCUUCGGAUCGUAAAACUCUGUUAUUAGGGAAGAACAAAUGUGUAAGUAACUAUGCACGUCUUGACGGUACCUAAUCAGAAAGCCACGGCUAACUACGUG
RNAcentral lists this ribosomal RNA (497 nucleotides) under uncultured bacterium. RNAcentral's name for it is "partial 16S ribosomal RNA". It matches the Rfam family "Bacterial small subunit ribosomal RNA", at positions 28 to 507 of the family's 1533-position model. The record is from RNAcentral.